This 400-nucleotide ribosomal RNA is filed under the name uncultured bacterium. RNAcentral describes it as "bacterial SSU rRNA". It matches the Rfam family "Bacterial small subunit ribosomal RNA", at positions 355 to 751 of the family's 1533-position model. The record is from RNAcentral.
UAAGGAAUAUUGGACAAUGGACGGAAGUCUGAUCCAGCCAUGCCGCGUGAAGGAUGAAGGCGCUCAGCGUUGUAAACUUCUUUUGGAUAGGAACAAACCUCCCGAUGCGUUGGGAGCUGAGGGUACUAUCAGAAUAAGCACCGGCUAACUCCGUGCCAGCAGCCGCGGUAAUACGGAGGGUGCAAGCGUUAUCCGGAAUCACUGGGUUUAAAGGGUGCGUAGGCGGUGGCGUAAGUCAGUCGUGAAAUUCCCCGGCUUAACCGGCGGGCGUGCGAUUGAUACUGCGUUACUUGAAUUAGGUUGAGGUAGGCGGAAUGCGACAUGUAGCGGUGAAAUGCAUAGAUAUGUCGUAGAACACCGAUUGCGAAGGCAGCUUGCUGGACCUAAAUUGACGCUGAGG